GUAGGUGGCAAGCGUUGUCCGGAAUUACUGGGCGUAAAGCGCGCGCAGGCGGUUCUUUAAGUCUGAUGUGAAAGCCACGGCUCAACCGUGGAGGGUCAUUGGAAACUGGAGAACUUGAGUACAGAAGAGGAAAGCGGAAUUCCACGUGUAGCGGUGAAAUGCGUAGAGAUGUGGAGGAACACCAGUGGCGAAGGCGGCUUUCUGGUCUGUAACUGACGCUGAGGCGCGAAAGCGUGGGGAGCAAACAGGGAUUAGAUACCCUGGUAGUCCACGCCGUAAACGAUGAGUGCUAAUGUUAGGGGGUUUCCGCCCCCCUUAGUGCUGCAGCUAACGCAUUAAGCACUCCGCCUGGGGAGUACGGCCGCAAGGCUG
This 372-nucleotide ribosomal RNA is filed under the name uncultured organism. RNAcentral's name for it is "partial 16S ribosomal RNA". It matches the Rfam family "Bacterial small subunit ribosomal RNA", at positions 527 to 896 of the family's 1533-position model. The record is from RNAcentral.